GACGAACGCUGGCGGCGUGCUUAACACAUGCAAGUCGAACGGAAAGGCCCUGCUUGCAUGGUACUCGAGUGGCGAACGGGUGAGUAACACGUGGGUGGUCUGCCCUGCACUUCGGGAUAAACCUGGGUAACUGGGUCUAAUACCGAAUAGGUGCCAUUUUUAGUGUGAUGGUUUGAAAGUUUUUGUGGUGUAUGCUGAGCUCACGGCCUAUCAGCUUGUUUGUGGGGUAAUUGCCUACCAAGGCGGCGACGGGUAGCCGGCCUGAGAGGGUGGACGGGCACAUUGGGACUGAGAGAGGGCGCAGAAGCCUACGGGAGGCAGCAGAGGGGAAUAUGGCACAAUGGGCGCAAGCCUGAUGCAGCGAUGUCGCGUGGGGGAUGACGGCCUUGGGGUGGUAAACUCCUUUCGCUAGGGACGAAGCUUUUUGUGACGGUACCUAGAUAAGAAGCACCGGCUAACUACGUG
RNAcentral lists this ribosomal RNA (465 nucleotides) under uncultured bacterium. Its description in RNAcentral is "partial 16S ribosomal RNA". It matches the Rfam family "Bacterial small subunit ribosomal RNA", at positions 28 to 507 of the family's 1533-position model. The record is from RNAcentral.